RNAcentral lists this ribosomal RNA (141 nucleotides) under uncultured bacterium. RNAcentral describes it as "partial 16S ribosomal RNA". It matches the Rfam family "Bacterial small subunit ribosomal RNA", at positions 355 to 509 of the family's 1533-position model. The record is from RNAcentral.
UGGGGGAUAUUGCACAAUGGGGGAAACCCGUGAUGCAGCGACGCCGCGUGAGUGAAGAAGUAUUUCGGUAUGUAAAGCUCUAUCGGCAGGGAAGAAAAAAAUGACAGUACCUGACUAAGAAGCCCCGGCUAACUACGUGCC